Bufo bufo (common toad) is the source of this 130-nucleotide non-coding RNA. The record is from RefSeq and is a predicted model, not a curated record. NCBI's taxonomy places the organism in Eukaryota, Metazoa, Chordata, Amphibia, Anura, Bufonidae.
GUGGCAGAUACCCCAGCGUUACAUUAAUGAGUCGUUUAAUGUGACUUUAGACUGCCACAUAGAGUAAAAUGGUUCCUGCCGACAGGACCUGGAAAGAUGUGAGGCUUCCUGUGCGAUGGCUCCAUACAUU